RNAcentral lists this ribosomal RNA (507 nucleotides) under uncultured bacterium. RNAcentral's name for it is "SSU rRNA". It matches the Rfam family "Bacterial small subunit ribosomal RNA", at positions 26 to 521 of the family's 1533-position model. The record is from RNAcentral.
AGGACGAACGCUGGCGGCGUGCCUAACACAUGCAAGUCGAGCGGAAAGGCCUCCUUCGGGAGGUACUCGAGCGGCGAACGGGUGAGUAACACGUGGGCAACCAACCCCUCACAUCGGGAUACCCCGGGGAAACUCGGAUCAAUACCGGAUAAUGCGCGACGCUGUUGGGCGUCGCACCAAAGGUAGCUUCGGCCUCUGGUGAGGGACGGGCCCGCGGCCCAUUAGCUUGUUGGUGGGGUAAUGGCCUACCAAGGCAACGAUGGGUAGCUGGUCUGAGAGGAUGAUCAGCCACACUGGGACUGAGAUACGGCCCAGACUCCUACGGGAGGCAGCAGUGGGGAAUAUUGCGCAAUGGGCGGAAGCCUGACGCAGCAACGCCGCGUGCGGGAGGAAGGCCUUCGGGUCGUAAACCGCUUUCAGGGGGACGAAGCCACCAGGGUUAAUAGCCCAUGGGGUGACGGUACUCCCAGAAGAAGCCCCGGCUAACUACGCGCCAGCAGCCGCGGU